CGAGGAUCCGAGUCGUAGCCGGGGCUAGUUUCUGGUAUCGCAUCCUACACGCACCGCGCUCCACCAUGACCUUCGGGUGACGAGAGCGGUCACUCCGUCCUCCACCAGACGAUCCAACCAUCGGUCCGCCGUCCAUUGAAGAAGGCGUUCUCCUCAUCGACCUGACCUGAACCCCCUAGUCUGCUCCAAUCAAGAACGAA
RNAcentral lists this ribosomal RNA (200 nucleotides) under uncultured eukaryote. RNAcentral describes it as "partial 18S ribosomal RNA". The record is from RNAcentral.